Molecule: ribosomal RNA, 252 nt
Filed under: uncultured bacterium
Lineage: Bacteria
Description: partial 16S ribosomal RNA
Rfam family: Bacterial small subunit ribosomal RNA
Source: RNAcentral
UACGGGGGGUGCGAGCGUUGUCCGGAUUCACUGGGCGUAAAGGGCGCGUAGGCGGCUCAUUCAGUCGGGCCUGUAAGCGCGGGGCUCACCCCCGUGUUGGGCCCGGGACGGGUGGGCUGGGGCGCGGCAGAGGGGUGCGGAAUGCCGGGUGUAGUGGUGAAAUGCGUAGAGAUCCGGCGGAACACCGGUGGUGGAAACGGCACCCUUGGCCGAGGCCGACGCUGAGGCGCGAGAGCGUGGGGAGCGAACCGG